CCUANGGGGGGCAGCAGUGGGGAAUUUUGGACAAUGGGGGCAACCCUGAUCCAGCCAUGCCGCGUGCGGGAAGAAGGCCUUCGGGUUGUAAACCGCUUUUGGUCGGGAAGAAAAGGUUAUCCCUAAUAAGGGUGACUCUUGACGGUACCGGCAGAAUAAGCACCGGCUAACUACGUGCCAGCAGCCGCGGUAAUACGUAGGGUGCAAGCGUUAAUCGGAAUUACUGGGCGUAAAGCGUGCGCAGGCGGUUUGUUAAGUCUGAUGUGAAAGCCCCGGGCUCAACCUGGGAACUGCAUUGGAAACUGGCAAGCUCGAGUAUGGCAGAGGGGGGUGGAAUUCCGCGUGUAGCAGUGAAAUGCGUAGAGAUGCGGAGGAACACCGAUGGCGAAGGCAGCCCCCUGGGCCAAUACUGACGCUCAGGCACGAAAGCGUGGGGAGCAAACAGGAUUAGAUACCCCUNUANUC
Molecule: ribosomal RNA, 465 nt
Filed under: uncultured bacterium
Lineage: Bacteria
Description: bacterial SSU rRNA
Rfam family: Bacterial small subunit ribosomal RNA
Source: RNAcentral